This is a long non-coding RNA of Homo sapiens (human), 252 nucleotides long. RefSeq lists it as uncharacterized. The record is from RefSeq and is a predicted model, not a curated record. The transcript is spliced from 3 exons. Lineage: Eukaryota; Metazoa; Chordata; Mammalia; Primates; Hominidae.
UAUCACCCUCAUUGUACCAAUAGGUAACAGAAUAAAAGGCCAAUUGUUCAGUUCCCUCUGCCCUACUAUUUAUACUCCAAAGACACUGCCCAGUUCUUAGAAGUCUAGCGUCAACAUGGAGCUCCAGUGUGGACAAGAGUGGGAAAGGAGAUGCAUAUCCAACAUAACAUCACUCAAAGCAAUUGGGACAGUGACAAAGGUGGCUGUUGACUAUAUCCACAAAAGAAACUCUCUAGGUCCAGUGGUCCCUAA